Molecule: unclassified non-coding RNA, 392 nt
Filed under: soil metagenome
Description: partial contains 5.8S ribosomal RNA, internal transcribed spacer 2, and large subunit ribosomal RNA
Rfam family: 5.8S ribosomal RNA (bases 1-122)
Source: RNAcentral
GAUGAAGAACGUAGCGAAAUGCGAUACUUGGUGUGAAUUGCAGAAUCCCGUGAACCAUCGAGUCUUUGAACGCAAGUUGCGCCCGAAGCCAUUAGGCCGAGGGCACGCCUGCCUGGGCGUCACACGUCGUUGCCCCCCCCAUCUACUCCUUCGGGAUUGCGGGGGGCGGAUGAUGGCCUCCCGUGCGCCUCGCCGCGCGGUUGGCAUAAAUGCCAAGUCCUCGGCGACGCACGCCACGACAAUCGGUGGUUGCGAAACCUCGGUUGCCCGUCGUGUGCGGUCGUCGCGCAUCGAGGGCUCGAAAAAAUUGCCGAGCUCCGGCUCGGCUUUCAACGCGACCCCAGGUCAGGCGGGGUUACCCGCUGAAUUUAAGCAUAUCAAUAAGCGGAGGA